UUGUUGAGAGAGGGAGAAGAAGAAAGAAAGCAGGAGAAGGAGAAGGAGAAGGAGAAGGAGAAGGGAAGGAGAAGUAGGGCGGUGCAUGGAGGCUGCAUGUUGCUGAUCCCUACUGUUGCUGCUGCUGAUACUCCUGCUGUUGUUGCUGCUGUUCAUAUAAGGUUAUUCAUGAGCUGCUGUUCAAGAUUGUAGUUCAAGGAUUGGUGCAAGGUUGCUACCUAAAACUAAAAUUCUUUUCCUGCUGCUACUUGCUCUUGUUGUACCCUCGUACUGUUGCUGUUGUUUAAGGUGGUAAAUGCGGGUCCAUGCAAGAUUAGGAAAGGCUGGAGUUACUGGUUCUUGCUACUACUACUGCUGACCCUAUGUUGCUGAGCAAAGGAGUUGUUGUUCAACUUGGAGUAAGCAAGCUGAGGAGUACAAGAGGUUGUGCAAGCCAGAAUUUUUAUCGUUGAUGCUUCCCUGCUCCUAUGCACACAAGGAAGUUAAAAUUCUACCAUUUUAAUUGUUGUACAAUAGGUUAGUUAUUUUGUGAGAUGUAAUUUCAACCAAGCCACCCAGAAUUGGGAACCUUGGACUGCAUGCUUGAAAAUGGACUGAAAUCAAUUACAGGGACUGAAUUAGUCAAUGUUAGCCUGCUAUAAUUGUGUUAAUCGAGUAUAUUAUAGGUUGGUAGUGGUCCUUGUAGCUCCCUACAGUUAAUUUGAGAGUUAUAGGUGAGGAAUUGUUCACCUAAGACAGGAAAUUGGAUUAAAUUACUGAUAUUCAUGUAAC
Molecule: long non-coding RNA, 771 nt
Organism: Macadamia integrifolia
Lineage: Eukaryota; Viridiplantae; Streptophyta; Magnoliopsida; Proteales; Proteaceae
Exons: 2
Source: RefSeq, a predicted model, not a curated record